AGCCUGAACGCUGGCGGCGUGGCUAAGACAUGCAAGUCGUACGGUGUAGCGUAGCAAUACGCUGCACAGUGGCGAACGGGUGAGUAAUGAAUCGCUAACGUGCCCCGGACUCUGGGAUAGCCAUCCGAAAGGGUGGGUAAUACCGGAUGACAUCACCUCCUCGCAUGGGGAGGUGCUCAAAGGUCCGCCGGUCUGGGAGCGGGCGAUUUCGUAUCAGCUAGUUGGUGGGGUAACGGCCCACCAAGGCGACGACGCGUAGCCGGACUGAGAGGUUGGCCGGCCACAUUGGGACUGAGACACUGCCCAGACUCCUACGGGGGCUGCAGUAACGAAUCUUCCACAAUGCACGCAAGUGUGACGGAGCGACGCCGCGUGGAGGACGAAGUUCUUCGGAAUGUAAACUCUGUCAGAGGAAAGAAGUUCUGAUCUACCUCAGAGGAAGAGGCGGCUAACUCUGCGCCAGCAGCCGCGGU
RNAcentral lists this ribosomal RNA (473 nucleotides) under uncultured bacterium. Its description in RNAcentral is "SSU rRNA". It matches the Rfam family "Bacterial small subunit ribosomal RNA", at positions 26 to 521 of the family's 1533-position model. The record is from RNAcentral.